CCCCCGGAAUAGCGUCAUCAGUUCUAUAAGAGAGCGUGUGCCGAAGGCCUCGGCCUUUCACAUUCGGGAAGCGUCGGGAUUAGGUGAUGGUACGCAGUUGUCUUUCGUAAGUUAAAAUGAUAAUUGGGCCGAAACUUACUGCCUUACCUAAAAAGCAGCGCAGUCAGGAUAUUGGUAGGUCGGGGGCGGCUUUGGAAACCCUUAAGUUUACAAGCAUGCGCGCACUGGAGUGCUCAUCAGGUCGCGGGGCGGCCACGUGCAGCCCUGGACCCUGAACCCCGGCGUGCGUGGGCCGUGGGCCCUCGGGGAAGCGUUCCGUGCACUCGGGGACUCUGGUAAAGCCUGUUUCGCCGUCGGUGUCAUGUGGCCAUCUUGAGUCUACUCUGUCGCUCCUGUGCCAUGGCACCCCGAGAACCGUCAGUUUGAGCCAGAUGGUGACUAUCAAGAAAUCCAAAGUGGUAAUGGGCGAAGUUUAUUCAGCAUCCGGCAAUGGACUUAUCGUAGUUGGGGAAACAGGUGUUCCGAAUAAUGUCCUGGAAGUUAUCAGGACACGUAUUUUAAAUACAGGCCUGAAUUUUUUAAAGUAAUAUUUAAGGUGGUCCGUGAUAAUUAAAUAAAAUGCUUAAUUCAUGUGGCUA
Nomascus leucogenys (northern white-cheeked gibbon) is the source of this 638-nucleotide long non-coding RNA. RefSeq lists it as uncharacterized. The transcript is spliced from 2 exons. NCBI's taxonomy places the organism in Eukaryota, Metazoa, Chordata, Mammalia, Primates, Hylobatidae. The record is from RefSeq and is a predicted model, not a curated record.